CGUCGCCGCUUAUGGAUCUUACUUGGUAAAACUAUCGAGUCCCGUGUAUGCACGGAAUCGCGUGGAAUCGGUUGGAACAGUGGCCGAGAUAAUUAAUAGUUUCGAUCGAUAGAGAUCCACUCGAAGUGCUAUCUCGAAAGCACUAGCGUGUGUCGCUUUGUGUCUCUGUAGAAAGUGUGCAUAUUACAGUAUCAUUUUCCUCUGGACUUUUUCCUUCUUUUCAGACCUUUCACCGUCUUCGACCGACUGUUUCGAGGAAUACGCGUCCCUCCGAGACAGUUCCUCUCGUUAACGGGAUAAUAAGAACAACGAUCUAACGGGGCCUCGUUUGUUUCAUUAAAGGGAAUCUCUGAUUCGAAGGAAGGUUCUUAGGAAUCGUGCAUCUAUCCGCGGUAAACUACGUAAAGUGUGGAGAGGAAGAAAGGGUAACAAGAGAUUUCUUCUCGAAGAAAAAUUUUAUUUUUAUUUUUAGUAAUAGCUUUUCCAUAAUAAUUCAUCGUUUCAUAGAUCGAGAUUGAACACAGUUCUCCGUUAAGAAAUUAAUUAUUCAUCAGCGAAACGAAGUUAUAGCGCAUCGUUGAGAAAGCGUAAUUUUUACUCGGAUCGAUAAUUUUGUUUCGCGAUUAAAUCAUACACGAAUUCGAAGAAGAUGCUCGUUCGAUCACCGAAUUCCGUAAAAAUGAACGUUUCUCGCUUCUUGCGAAUCCCAACAGUUCGAAUAUAUACUUUCGUAUCGCUCAUUAAGAACAGUACGAACAGAAGCGACACGAUUUUCAAAUGCGUUCCUAAUCGCAAUUAAACAUCGUUCUACUCGUCGAGCAACACGGCCCCGAUGUUUCCUCUUUGAUUCCAACGAAAACAGUAGAAAUAUAUAAGAACGCGU
Molecule: long non-coding RNA, 883 nt
Organism: Apis florea (little honeybee)
Lineage: Eukaryota; Metazoa; Arthropoda; Insecta; Hymenoptera; Apidae
Source: RefSeq, a predicted model, not a curated record